AGCGAACGCUGGCGGCGUGCUUAACACAUGCAAGUCGAACGUGAAAUGUAGCAAUACAGAGUAAAGUGGCGUACGGGUGAGUAACACGUGGGUAAUCUACCUUAGAAUCUGGAAUAACAGGCCGAAAGGCUGGCUAAUACUGGAUAGUUCAAGUGCAUCGUAGAGGUGCGAUUGGGAAAGGGAGCUCGCAAGAGCCUUCGUUCUAAGAUGAGCCCGCGUCUGAUUAGCUAGUUGGUGAGGUAAUGGCUCACCAAGGCUGAGAUCAGUAGCUGGUCUGAGAGGAUGAUCAGCCACACUGGAACUGAAACACGGUCCAGACUCCUACGGGAGGCAGCAGUGGGGAAUCUUGCGCAAUGGACGAAAGUCUGACGCAGCCACG
This 379-nucleotide ribosomal RNA is filed under the name uncultured bacterium. Its description in RNAcentral is "bacterial SSU rRNA". It matches the Rfam family "Bacterial small subunit ribosomal RNA", at positions 29 to 396 of the family's 1533-position model. The record is from RNAcentral.